AGUGAACGCUGGCGGUAGGCCUAACACAUGCAAGUCGAACGGCAGCACAGUAAGAGCUUGCUCUUACGGGUGGCGAGUGGCGGGCGGGUGAGGAAUACAUCGGAAUCUACUUUUUCGUGGGGGAUAACGUAGGGAAACUUACGCUAAUACCGCAUACGACCUACGGGUGAAAGCAGUGGAGCUUCGGACCUUGCGCGAUUGAAUGAGCCGAUGUCGGAUUAGCUAGUUGGCGGGGUAAAGGCCCACCAAGGCGACGAUCCGUAGCUGGUCUGAGAGGAUGAUCAGCCACACUGGAACUGAGACACGGUCCAGACUCCUACGGGAGGCAGCAGUGGGGAAUAUUGGGCAAUGGGCGCAAGCCUGAUCCAGCCAUACCGCGUGGGUGAAGAAGGUCUUCGGGUUGUAAAGCCCUUUUGUUGGGAAAGAAAAGCAGCAGGUUAAUACCCCGCUGUUCUGACGGUACCCAAAGAAUAAGCACCGGCUAACUUCGUG
Molecule: ribosomal RNA, 492 nt
Filed under: uncultured bacterium
Lineage: Bacteria
Description: partial 16S ribosomal RNA
Rfam family: Bacterial small subunit ribosomal RNA
Source: RNAcentral